UACAGGGGGCCCGAGCGUUAGUCGGAAUCACUGGGCUUAAAGGGUGCGUAGGCGGACGUAUAAGUGUCGUGUGAAAGCCCACUGCUCAACGGUGGAACUGCACGGCAAACUGUACGUCUCGAGGAAGCUAGAGGUCGCUAGAACGCUUGGUGGAGCGGUGGAAUGCGUAGAUAUCAAGCGGAAUGCCGAAGGUGAAGACAGGCGACUGGGGCUUUCCUGACGCUGAGGCACGAAAGCGUGGGGAGCAAACAGG
This 253-nucleotide ribosomal RNA is filed under the name uncultured bacterium. RNAcentral's name for it is "partial 16S ribosomal RNA". It matches the Rfam family "Bacterial small subunit ribosomal RNA", at positions 524 to 776 of the family's 1533-position model. The record is from RNAcentral.